RNAcentral lists this long non-coding RNA (1177 nucleotides) under Equus caballus (horse). Its description in RNAcentral is "lncRNA (ENSECAG00000044208.1)". The record is from RNAcentral. Lineage: Eukaryota; Metazoa; Chordata; Mammalia; Perissodactyla; Equidae.
GUUUGGGCCACUGAGUCCCUAGAUUUGAAGUCUCUGCAGUGUUUGGGAGUCUAUGUCCAGAUAUUGACAUUUAUGAUUUUGAGGGCAGAGUGAAUUUGUGUCCCAGGGUGUCAGCUUUCUGAAUUGUUUAUGGGUGUAUGUCCCAGGAGGUAAGGUUCCUAAACUGUUUGUGGGUAUAUGUCCCAAAUGUGUGAGGUCCCUGAUAUGCUUGUGGCUACAUGUUGCAGUAUAUGAGGUCUCAGCUCAUGGGUGUAUGUACCAGGAUGUGAGUUAUCUGAGCUCUUUGAGUAUGCGUGUCUGAGAUUAUGAAGUCUCUGAUGUGUUUGGAUGUAUGUUUCCCAGGAUGAGAGAUUUCUGAUUUGCUUGUGGGUAUAUAUUCCAGGAUGUUACUUACCUGAUCUAUUUGGGUGUGUAUGGUGUAAGGUUUCUGAUCUGCUUGUGAGUGUAUGUCCCGGGGUAUGAGGUCUCUGAUCUGUUUUUGGCUCUAUGUCCCUGGAUGUUAGAUCUCUGAUCUCUUUGUGAGUGUAUGUGCAAAUGUGUGAGCUCUCUGAUCUCUUUGUGGGUAUAUGUGCCAAGGUAUAAGGUCUCUGAGCUCUUUGUGGGUAUAUUUCCUUGGUUGUUAGAUUCCUGAGCUUUUUCGAUUGUGUUUUCUGCAGCAUUAGUACUCUGAUCCAUUUGUUGAGAGUGUGUUUUUGUAAUAUAUGAGGACUAUUCUGUCUGAGGGUGUAUGUCCCAGAGUGUGAGGUCUCUGAGCUCUUUGGAUGCAUGGGUUACAAAGCGUGAGGUCUCUGAGGUGUUAGGUGGUCUUUCCUAGGGUGUCCUGACGUUGAGCUGGUUAGGGGUCCGUGUCAGGAGAUGUGAGGUCUCUGAGCUGUAUAUAGAUGUUUCCAGAGUUGGAAUUCUCUGCACCGAGUCUGUUUCCGUGCUGGGUGCUCUCUAAGCCUUUGGGGUCUGCGUCUGAGGCUUGACUCGAGUUGUUUGUGGCACUAUGUUCUAGGGAGUGAGGUCCCUGGGAUGUUUCGUGCUCUAUUAUCCAGGGCGUCUCUGAGCAAUUUGGGGGUCUGUGUCCCAGAUAUGAGGUUUCAGAAUCAUUUGGGGAUCUGCAGAGUGUGAGGCCUCUCGGUGUUGGGCAGUCUGUAUCAGGGUGGCACAGCUCAGCUGUUCGGGGGUCUGUCCC